UCUCACGCUCUGUAGAAACACAAACCCUAUUAAAAAAAAUACCACUAAUACUCUCUCUUCCAGGUGAGUUUGACUCCUAACCCUAGCCACCGCAACCGAGGCCUCACCGCAACCAGAUGCAGAUCCGAUGCCACUGAGAUCUUUUCCUCCAACAGAAAGACGAACCCAGGCACCAGUGACUGGCUAGAGGCUUCUGAGUUGUGACUGUUUCCCCGUCGCCUUGUAACGGAAAGAGCCCGCCGUUAGACCUACGAGCCACAAAAUUACAGAGUUCUCGUUUAAUUGUGUUGUUGUGCAGAUUCCGGGAGUUGGUAACCAGUACAGGUACCGGCGAAGCUGUCGAAACCCUAGUGCCUCCAGCAACAUUUCUCGUCCUCUUCAGCAAAUCCGGCACCACCGAGGAGCUUCUCCGUCUCGUCCCCUGCGCUAACCAAGUAGGAGUAUGCAGCUAAUCAUCGGGAAGAGCUUAAUCUUCAAGGUAUGACUUUGAGAUUAAGUGUUAAGAACCAUUAGUGUUUGGGAAUGAAUCUAUUAUUGUCUGUUUCUUACAUGUCGAGGAUUUUAUGAAAAAGAGAGAUGAGCUUCCUGUUUGUAAAGGAGGAGACUUGAGAAGUUAUCUUCAAAUUCAGUGCUGGAGAAACGUGUAACAGGAAGCCGAGGACAAUUGGAUCAGAGAUGAUCAUGGAUCGACUAACUAUGCUGCCGAUAAGGUCUUGGAAAUUAUCCGAGCCUUGGAAGCAUGUGCACAAGUGGACCAGUUGCCUUGCUGUUGAGAAGAAAGAGUGGAAAUUUGAUACACUGUGAUAUUUAUGACACGCACUCGAGCUGUUAUCUUCUGCAACACUAAACGAAAGGUUUGCUUGGUUUCUGCAACUCUUCCUCACGAGAUUUUGGAGAUGACAUCAAAUUUUAUGACGGAGCCAAUGAAGAUACUUGUGAAGCGUGAUGAGUAGACUCUUGACGGCAAGAGGAUUAAGUUUAGAUUUUUGGUUUAGUUAAGUUUAUCGUUUAGUUUAGGUUCUUUUCUGGUUUUAGUUUGGUAAACUGGAAUUUGGUUGUAAACUGAUUUUAAUUUAUAAAUAAAAUUAUUUUUAUUUUAA
Molecule: long non-coding RNA, 1100 nt
Organism: Raphanus sativus (radish)
Lineage: Eukaryota; Viridiplantae; Streptophyta; Magnoliopsida; Brassicales; Brassicaceae
Exons: 4
Source: RefSeq, a predicted model, not a curated record